UUUUUAGACCUCCCUGGAGGAGCUUGCCACCUAACCGAUAACCCACGAAAGACCUCACCAGCUUUUGAAAACCCAACAUGUAUACCAUCGUCGUCAGUCUACCUCCCAAGAGAAGUAUACUCAAUGAGCCCUCCUCAUUACGUCAGAUCGAGGUGCAGUCAAUAGGCUGGGGGUUGGUGAGCUACAACACUUAUUACAAAAUAAAACCAACUAUGAACGGUAUAAUGAAACUAAUACCUAAAACAGGAUUCAGCAGUAAUACCCAAAAGAAAAUGGGUAUAAAAUUUUAAUCACCUCUAAAAGGCGC
RNAcentral lists this ribosomal RNA (307 nucleotides) under Notioceramus anomalus. RNAcentral's name for it is "partial 12S ribosomal RNA". Lineage: Eukaryota; Metazoa; Echinodermata; Asteroidea; Valvatida; Goniasteridae. The record is from RNAcentral.